Long non-coding RNA from Oxyura jamaicensis (ruddy duck), 1089 nucleotides. RefSeq lists it as uncharacterized. The transcript has 5 exons. The record is from RefSeq and is a predicted model, not a curated record. Lineage: Eukaryota; Metazoa; Chordata; Aves; Anseriformes; Anatidae.
UAACACCACAUGUGCUAUAGCUUGGACAAUGCCAUUCAGAAUUUAUGCUUGCCUUUACCGUGAUGGACUCAUGACUACUGCAUCAGCCAAGAGGAUUUUAGAGGAGAAGAAAACAAAGAAACUUUCCUACUGCAGCAUAUUAUGCAGAGAAAUACACUGAAGAGUGAGAUCUGCUGUAGCGUUAGGGUAAUGGUGGUCAGGUGAAUUAGACCAAAGGAGCCAUUUUGUCACCUCCUAACACCACUGAAGCUGAGUUUACAGUCCAGUGGAGAAGCUGUGUGAGCAAGGAUUCACAGAGCACAUGGUACCAGUCCCCAUGCAGAAAAUCAAGGCAAAGGACACUCUGACAACUGCAAUUUUAAAUAAAGUAAAAAACACAGAGAUUCUGCUAAAACAAAAUCAAGAAUACAGUCUUUGAUAAUUAUGUGCUCUUGGAGAAAGCACCAAGAUCAAAUCAGUGAGAUAAAGGAUAUUGAAGCAUAGGAAAAAAAUACCAUGGGCAUAAAGCAAGCUUCCAGGCAGACUUGACCUUUACAGAUGUACGCUGAACCUCCUGCUGGUUGCUGGACACAUUAGAAAUGACCCUCAGCUGAUUUCACAACAGCCAUCAGAUUGUGCUGAUGUUCUUGUGUUACAGUUUAACUAGUGACCUGAAGAGUGCCACACCAUCAAAUAUAAGAUUUCACCAGGGCUGUGAGGAAUUUCUUCCAGUUAAUUCCUCCAGAAAUGGAAGCAGUGGUUCAGGAUCUCAUGACCUACAUUGUGAACUUAACUCAUAUCGUUACUGAAAGCAGUUUGUAGAGAUUGUUUUUGUAUUUACUGUUCCAAACAAAGGACAUUCUUUGUUGUUUUCUUUCACUGGAACGUUUUCUUGGAAUAUUCAUUUGUAUAUUUUUACUUUCUUUUUGUUUGUAUGUCUGUAUGAGGCAUGGAAGAAAUUUCAAAACAAUGUAUGAUCCAGGCUUUUCCUUCCCAAUAUGACAUGCUAAGCUUCAAAAGACACUCAUGUAUGUGCACUUGAGACUCUAGACUCUAGUGCUAAGCUAGCAUUCUUUGAAAGUGGCCACAGAUACAGGGUUCCUGAGUUUU